Molecule: ribosomal RNA, 505 nt
Filed under: Ampharete sp. ZMBN 106583
Lineage: Eukaryota; Metazoa; Annelida; Polychaeta; Terebellida; Ampharetidae
Description: eukaryotic LSU rRNA
Source: RNAcentral
CCGUUUAGAGGUAAACGGAUGGGACCGCUAGGUUCCCCGUGGGAUUCAACCUUCCGCUCGGUGGCGGGCGUCGUUCUCGGAUCCUCRCGGACCGAAGCGGCGUUCGGCCGUCGUCGGUGGGCGCACUUUCCACGGGACUGUGGCCAGGACAGGCUCGAGGGUGGCCAGAAGCCCGCCGAUCAAGGUAACCGUCUUCGGGCGGCGCUUAGGUUCGGCGGGUGGGCAGCACCCUCGUGCCGAGGAACGGACCGCCGCCUCGGAAACGUCGUCGUCACGUGUCGGGUCAAACUGGCGUGGACUGUUCGCAGUGCUCGUCGACCGCCCGGCGCGUUGUGCGGCGGCCCCCUUCCGAACGCUCAGGGUCUCUGGUCGUUUUCGUCGGCACCCCAUCCGACCCGUCUUGAAACACGGACCAAGGAGUCUAACAUGUGUGCGAGUCACUGGGUGGCAAACCCACGGGCGCAAUGAAAGUGAAGGUCGGCUCGCGUCGGCUCAGGUGGGAUCC